CUAGUUUCUGUAUGUAGAUCUACAACACGGUCUUUUUGCUCUAUUUUUUCUUCUCUUAUUUAUGCCCUCCUCUAUCCUUUCGAUUUCCAUUUAUAACUUAACCCUGUAGGUAUAGGAGCAGAGUUUUUGGCUAUUACUGUGGCAUACAUUGUUACUUAUUGUUUCACUCCAUAAUGAAUUUGCUACAUCUAUAUAUGGUCUAUCCAGC
Pelobates cultripes (western spadefoot toad) is the source of this 208-nucleotide non-coding RNA. The record is from the annotation of a GenBank genome assembly. NCBI's taxonomy places the organism in Eukaryota, Metazoa, Chordata, Amphibia, Anura, Pelobatidae.